GACUAUCCUCGACAAAAAUUAAAAGUUAAGGGUUGAAAAGAUCUAACCAAUGGGAUGCAAUCCAAUAGACAAGAAUGUCAUAUAGAAACUCAUUUUCCUCUAGACUUUAUCAAGCAACAAGCAUAAGCAAUAUUCAAGCAAACCAUAUGAAGACCAAGGCAUCAAAUAAAGAUAUCCAUAAUAUCCAAGCAAGCACUCCAAUAGCUAGCAGUUUUC
This 216-nucleotide long non-coding RNA is filed under the name Lathyrus oleraceus (garden pea). RNAcentral's name for it is "Pisum sativum (pea) long non-coding RNA (PSAT_LNC006297)". Lineage: Eukaryota; Viridiplantae; Streptophyta; Magnoliopsida; Fabales; Fabaceae. The record is from RNAcentral.